UACGUAGGCAGCGAGCGUUGUUCGGAGUUACUGGGCGUAAAGCGUGCGUAGGCGGUUGUCUAAGUUUGGUGUGAAAUCCCCUGGCUUAACUGGGAGGGUGCGCCGAAAACUGGGUGACUGGAGUGUCGGAGAGGUAAGCGGAAUUCCUGGUGUAGCGGUGAAAUGCGUAGAGAUCAGGAGGAACACCUGUGGUGUAGACAGCUUACUGGACGAUAACUGACGCUGAGGCACGAAAGCGUGGGUAGCAAACAGG
This 253-nucleotide ribosomal RNA is filed under the name uncultured bacterium. RNAcentral's name for it is "partial 16S ribosomal RNA". It matches the Rfam family "Bacterial small subunit ribosomal RNA", at positions 524 to 776 of the family's 1533-position model. The record is from RNAcentral.